Rosa chinensis is the source of this 3280-nucleotide long non-coding RNA. RefSeq lists it as uncharacterized. The transcript has 14 exons. The record is from RefSeq and is a predicted model, not a curated record. NCBI's taxonomy places the organism in Eukaryota, Viridiplantae, Streptophyta, Magnoliopsida, Rosales, Rosaceae.
AAAUCUGAUACCUGUAACUUCCCAAUCAGUUCUCUGAUGUGAUACUCCUCAGAGCUCUACAUUAUAUGGAUGAGGAAGAGCCGCGGCGGUUAAUCCGAAAUCUUGAGCCACAUCGAAUUCAACUCACAAAGCCAUUUAGGCUUGUUCUUGUCUUGAUGAGGUGUAGUGGAUCCACCAACAUUUGAAGAGAAGCGCUUAAUAACCAUUGGUCUACCUGAUGUCGAAAACAACUAGAAAUGUUCGGUCUAUCUGAUUAAGUCCAGAUGAGACCGGGGGCUGCUCUACGCCUCUACUUGUUGGAUGAGGAAGAGCCACCAUGCUACUGCCUUUACUCUACAGAAGAUAUUAGGUUCUUACUUUCAGUGUAACGUAAAUGUUUGAUUAUGUGAUACACAUCGAUAAGUGACAACACCGCGCACCAAAGGUCUCAAAAAAAAAAAAAAAAUGGUUGAGUUCUUAUUUGAUACUCAAGAAGUCAAGAUCCACACGAGUUUUACAUUCAAUUAAGUUUCAUUGCCUACACUACCAAAACUAACCCUUAGAAGUAUCUUCUCCUGCAUGAAUAUUGAAUAGAGAGACGAGUAAUGUCCCAUGUAAAGAUUGAGGGUAGUUUUGAAGUUAGGUAUCCAUAGCAACUCCCAAAUGAUAUACUCAACUGCUGCAAUGAAUAGUUAGAAAAUGCAUCGAGAUGUUUGCGAGUAAAAUGUGAGGAAGAAAGUACGCAGAACACAAAAAAAAGUCUUGGAUUUGGUUUGGAAAAACAGAGUAACUAAUUUCAAUCUUCUUAACCCAAACUGACCAUCAGGAAAACUAUGCUGUAAUCUAAACUUGUAACUGGCCUAGUUGCGAAGUGUUGGCAAAUUCAUGGCGAGAUGUAUAAAAUUCAUUAGCAACCGUGAAAGCUUGGUAAGAUCUUCAGUUUAAUAGAAUCAAUACCGACAUCAUAGCUAUUCAUCUUUUGUUGAUGUAACUAGACUGAUCGGAGUGAGAAGAAGAAGAGGAAUUUGUCAUCACCAUUUGCAAACUCAUAAUCUAUCUGUUUUAGUGGAGAGAAAAAAGGCCCCAGUUUUUUUAGUGUGUUCGGGAAGCCUCGAUUGACCGUAGCCGUGGAACCCAGAUAAUUGUCUUCGUUGUUUCACAGUAUCAGGUGCAUCAUCGAUCAAGCUCUCAGAUACCAAGGUUGGGCUGAUAACAAGUUGUAAAAGGUUUGGUUUGGUUUACAGAGUUUCUGGGGAAUAUUUGAUAUACAAUUUGGGAUCUUCAAUUAUGGAUUUGAUCUAGUAUUUCGGAUUUUGAUCGUAAGAUUUCGGAGCAAGGUUUGGGUUUGUUUCGGAAGAGGUUACUGCUAGAAUUUUGAUCGAGUUUGGGAGGAAGCUUUCAAUAGGUGUAUGUGUUUGAUUUUUUUUUCUUUUUCUUUUCUUUCAGUUGUCGAAAAUUGUGGUUUUCAGUGAGUUUUUUGUGUUUGAAUUUUGUGUAUUUGUAUAUUAAAAUGUGAAUGACGGUGAUUUCGGUUUAAGAUUUGGUUUGAAUGGAGAUGAGAGUGAUGAUGGUUUUGUUAUCGAAGUUGAUUGAACCAGAAAAGGGUAGCUGCCAAUAGUAGAGGUUAUUGAACUGUUUUUCUGAAUGACUGGUUUAAUUUUGUUUAUAUGUGGUUUCUGGAAUUGUAUUGCCCAAGUUUUUUUUUUUCUAUGUUAUUUUUGUUAAAGAAAAAAGUGAAUGGUAUAUUUUUACCGUAGAAUUAAGGGUUAGAAUGAUGCAACUGUAAAAAUAAGAAAGAAGAAGAAGAAAGUAGCGGGGUUUUCAGAAAUAAAUCCUUAAUCGAAUCAAAUGAGAGACAGAUGGUGAGGUUGCUGAUAACCUGCUUGAUCAAGCUACUAGCAGUUUAGAAAUUUUCAUACUUUGUUCUCACUUCUCAGACCCUUAGAAGCAAGUUUGGCAAUCAUAAGAAACUGUGUGACAUUCUUAUUCCAAUGGCAAUGCGAAUGUGAAUGGAAAUCAAAAUGGAGUGAAUGGAGAAGACCAUCAAAUACUAAAUAACUGCUAGAAGAGCUACUGGUACGAGGAAUAAAUCGAAGAAAACUUAAGAUGCAGCUUUCCUCUUAAGAGCAGCUAAAUCAAUGGCUGUGGGACAUUAUGGAUGAGUUUGUGUACCAGUUUCAGAGCUUCUGUCAGUAUAGGGCUAAGAUGAAGAACAAGACUGAGCAGGAGACUACUUUUCUCAGACAGUUUGAUCAAAUCUUGAAGAAAAAGAUUGAUCUAUUUGAGCUCCGGUGAUAUGGCUAUUGCAUGUUUAGAGCUCUAGCAUGCUUGCAUAAACAGGGUGUGGUGCACAGAGAUGUUAAGCCCGGAAACUUCCUCUUCUCUCAGAAGCUAAGCAAAGGUUACCUGAUUAAUUUCAACCUUGCCAUGGUUUGGCAAACGGCUUCUCUGUGCCAUUUGGUUCACACAGCAGCUCUUCUUGCUGCGCCCCUCACAAAAAACCCCAAUAUUGCCUUUUAACUACUGGUAUACUCGCAUUCUCGGGGACGUUUUAAAUUGCAAGACCUGGUAUAGAUAGUCUACUGGUCUUCGCUAAAUUGCAAGAUCAGGUAGCAAGGUGAAAAGCUUACCUGCUGUGUGUCGACGUUUCCGCGUUGUUCCCCAUGCGCGUGGUGAGUGUUCUUGGAACUUCUGGACUGUACAUGUCAGGAUCAUAUGUUGAGCAAAGACCUUAGACACAGAGUUUCAGAUGAUUCUACUAAAACAGGGAAGGGUAGGAGACUUGGAGAGGGGGGGGUUGGCUAUUUGAAACAUUUUUACCUAAACACUUGGUGAUAUAAUUCUGCUCUGCUUUUCAAGACAUUCUGCUGCAUAUAUCAACAGAGUGACAGCCCAUCGCAUCUCAUCAACGCAGAAGAUGCAUCAACAGCAGACGAACCAACUGAUAAAACAUUAGAAGAACUCAUGUGAAGUAAUUGGUUUGAACUAAAAAAAAUGCAUAAAAAUUCAUUACAAAAAGCUUAAGGCACGAUUCAUCGAUCAAAUUAAGAGACUAGCUAUUCGACAGCAUUGCUCUUCCUGAUCCUCUUCUUUAUGUCAGAAAGCUACAUCACAAGAUCAGGAGUUGGUGAACUCAUCCUUUCAACACAGUCCUCAUGUGGAAGCUAUGAGUCCCCCUUCUUUCUUAAAGAACGACCUGGACGUUUUGAAUACAUUGAAAAAGGACUCAAAGGAAAUGGACAUAUGGUUAUCCUGAUUGCUGACAGAGCAGGACUUUUUGAAUACAUCAGUGCUACCUUCC